This 497-nucleotide ribosomal RNA is filed under the name uncultured bacterium. RNAcentral's name for it is "partial 16S ribosomal RNA". It matches the Rfam family "Bacterial small subunit ribosomal RNA", at positions 28 to 507 of the family's 1533-position model. The record is from RNAcentral.
GACGAACGCUGGCGGCGUGCCUAAUACAUGCAAGUUGAGCGAUGAAGAUUGGUGCUUGCACCAAUUUGCAGAGCAGCGAACGGGUGAGUAACGCGUGGGGAAUCUGCCUUUGAGCGGGGGACAACAUUUGGAAACGAAUGCUAAUACCGCAUAAUAACUUUAAACAUAAGUUUUAAGUUUGAAAGAUGCAAUUGCAUCACUCAAAGAUGAUCCCGCGUUGUAUUAGCUAGUUGGUGAGGUAAAGGCUCACCAAGGCGAUGAUACAUAGCCGACCUGAGAGGGUGAUCGGCCACAUUGGGACUGAGACACGGCCCAAACUCCUACGGGAGGCAGCAGUAGGGAAUCUUCGGCAAUGGACGAAAGUCUGACCGAGCAACGCCGCGGGAGUGAAGAAGGGUUUCGGAUCGUAAAACUCUGUUGGUAGAGAAGAACGUUGGUGAGAGUGGAAAGCUCAUCAAGUGACGGUAACUACCCAGAAAGGGACGGCUAACUACGUG